UUAGUAAUGCAUAGUCUUAUAGUUUAAAAAAAAAAAGAGACUUUAUUUUUUAGAGCCGUUUUAGGUUCAUGGUAAAAUUGAAGGGAAAGCACACAGAUUUCCCAUAUUCCUCUUACUGCCACAAGUGCAUAGCCUCCCCCAUUAUCAACACCCCCCACCAGAGUGGUACAUUUGUUACAUCAGUGAACGUACACUGACACAUCACCCAAAGUCUAUAUUUUACAUUAGAGUUUAUUCUUGGUGUUGUUCAUUCUAUGGGUUUGGACAAAUGUAUAAUGACAUAGAUCCAUCUUUACAGUAUAAUACACAGCAGUUUCACUGCCCUAAAAAUUCUCUGUGCUCUGCCUAUUCUUUCUUCCCUUCCUCUUAAUCCCUGGACACCAUGGCUCUUUUCACUUUUAUCUAGUUUUGCGUUUUCUAGAAUAGGUGUAGUUGAACUCAAACAGUACAUAGCCUUUUCAGAUUGUCUUUUUU
RNAcentral lists this long non-coding RNA (474 nucleotides) under Homo sapiens (human). RNAcentral describes it as "non-protein coding lnc-TMA16-3:1". The record is from RNAcentral. Lineage: Eukaryota; Metazoa; Chordata; Mammalia; Primates; Hominidae.